AGCUUUUUAUUUGUUGUAAAGGUUGGAUUUCCUGAGGUCCGAAGAAAGUCUCGAAUCCAGAUUCUUGACAAAAAAUGAAGAGCGCCCCUCAGGAAUGGGUGGAGACAAGAAAAGACAAAAACCUAUCAUGCUGCGUUCUGACAGUCUGUCUUCCCACUGGUUGCUUGUGCUGCCCAUAUUCUGAAUAGAAUUUGUAAUCUCCUGAAUUUCUACUUGUGUCUUCAGUGAUCUCUGGGCAUGGCCAACUACAAGCUUUGCUUCUGUCCCAAGAUCCAACCACCUCUGUGAUUAAAGGUACUGGAGAUUGAACACAAGGCCUCAGCAUAAACUAAGCAAGAGCUCUACCACAGCUGUUUCUGCAGACCCCUGCCUCCCUAUCCCACCUUUAUUUGAGAAACUAAAUUGCCCAAAUUGGCCUUGAAUUGGUGAUCUUCUUGCCUCAGCUUACCCAAAAGUUGUGAUUACAGAAGCAUGCCAUCAUGCCAGGUUUGAAAAUAACUUUUAUUUAAGAAUUUAUCUUUUGUGUAGUACUUGCUACUUAAGAUUUGAAUGUUUUCUUUUUUCUCUCUGUUUUUGUGAGACAGAAUUUCACUAUGCAAUUCAGGCUGGCCUUGAACUCACUUUGUAGCGCAGGCAGGUUUUGACUCCGUAAUCCUCCUGCCUCAGCCUCCUGAGUGCUGGGAUUACAGGCGUGUGCCACCACACCCAGCCUUGAGUGCUUUCUUAAAGAAAAGGGCACUAAUUUAGUAUUUUAGGAGAAUAAAUUAUAACUUAAUACAAUACACAUUUGAAAUGUGCAGUCACUUUCCAGAAUAAUUGUGGAAACUAAUCUCCUUAUCUCUCUUCCUCCGUAGUAGGGGUUAAGCGCAGGGCUCAUUCUGCCUACCAGGCGAGCACUCUACCACCAAGCUGUAUGCCUAGCCAUUAUGAAAAGGUUUAAAAGUUGAGUAUUUAAAAAUGAGUAUUACACAGACUAAUAUAUUUUUGUAUACUAAAACAGAUUAACACAUUUGAGGGCUAUCUCAAAUUCCUUCAUUAAUACUGACUUAUUGUAAUUAUGAACUUCCACAGAGGGAUGGCAAAGACUAAAAACCAGAAUCCCUAUUGGUAUGUGCUUUGGAAAAUCAUCCCAUCUAAUUCUGGUUUAUUUCAUCCCAUUUCCUAAAGUAAAUUUUAAGAAACGUCAGUGAAAGCUUGUGAAACUUGAUCUACAUAACACUGUAUUAUACAUAUUCAUAACAAUUUAUCAAGAGGAGCAAUAAACUUAAAUACUAUAGAAAGCUAAUAACUAGACAUUAAAAAUAAAAAUGUAAAGUACACUAAGAUCACAAAUGCAGGUAAAAUUCUUUGAUAUUAAAUUUAACUAGCAUUGGGGGCUGGGGAUUUAGCUCAGUGGCAUAAGUACCUGCCUUGCAAGCACGCAGUUGUGAGUUUGAUCCCUGGUACCAAUAAAAAAAAAAUUUAACUAGCAUAAAAAUAAAUUGUUAUUUGAAUCCCUCCAAAGUGAAUAAAAUUAACUAAGAUAUAGGAAUUUAAGACUUAAAAAUCUUCUGUGAUGGGUCUAAUAUAUUUAAAAAAUUUAAGUUUCUAUAAAACAAAACUUUCCUUAGCUUGGAAAGGAAAAUAUAAACUGUAAAAAUUAUGAAGGUACCUAUCAGUUCUAUAGAUGGUUCAUCACAUCGUCAAAGCAGUAUAUUUCUAAUUGCUGGGUAAAAAGCCAAUCAGGAAAAUAGUUAAAAUGACAAAUCCUAUUGGGUGUGAUGGCACAUGCCUGUAACCCUAGCACUCUAGGAGGACAGGCAAGAGGAUCCCAAGUUUAAGUCCAGUCUGGGCAAGUCAGUGAUUUAACAAGACCGUGUCUCAGUAAAAAAAAAAAGGGCUGGCCAUGUAGUUUAGUGAGAAGGCCCCAGGUUUAAUCAGUACAAAAACCCCAGAACAAAAAAUAGAACAAAACCCAAGAAGUCUUUAACUGUUAAAGGCCGGAGGGUGUGGGAACAGCAAGACUGCAGUAAUUGGGACCAAUUAAAAUCCCAUAAAGCUAGAAGAUGAGGCAGGAGGACCAUGCAUUCAAGUCUAGCUUGGUUACAUAGCAAGACCCCAUCUCAAAAAACAAAAUAUACAAACAUAAUUUAUUGUAGAUCUAUUCUAGAAUAAACAGAACUCCUAUACUCAUUUUACAGGGGCACUAUUUGAACCAAGGGACAAGGUAUAUAAAGUUAUCUAGAAAAAUAUUUUUUCCACUCAUCCAAUAUUCACUGAUAUGUAUGAUAGAUAGUGUGCUACCUGCUGUGAUACAAAAAUACAGUUACCAUCUCUAUCACCUGUAACUCAGUGUAGUAAGAGACACAGAUAUAUAAACUAUUAGUGAUACCAUGUGUGCUGUGUACAGAAUGGCCGAUACAGUGGCAUCUAAACAUGUUGCAAGUUGUUUUCCACUUGACAGAGUAAAUUUGAACUUUAUGUAGUAGGCAAUAACCAGUUACUAUGAUUUCUUUUUAAACUUACUGAGAAUAGGAACUAAUCUGUGGCAUCUUUGUUUCUUUUGUUUGAUGGUUUCUUUUUUUUCUUUCUUUUUUUUUAAAGACAGGGUCUCACUGUGUAGUCCAGACUGAGCUUGAACUCACUAGUGAAGCCCAGGCUGGACUUAAACUUACGGCAAUCCUCCUGUCUCAGGUUCCCAAGUGCUGGUAUUACAAGCAUGUGCCACCUGGCUGCAGCAUCUUAUAUUGUACAAAAUUCAAUUGUGCAUUUGAAAAUUAUGUUGACACUGGUGGCUAGCUAAAAAUCAUUAACUUAAGAGUCCAUUAGCAACAAGACAGUUCCAUUCAGCACGUUAAACCCAAGAACACAGAGAUAAGAAACAACACACCCAUUAGCUACUGAAAGUCUCUAAUGUCAGACAUGGUGGUGCACACCUGAAAUCCCAGCAUAAUAGGGUAAUUACUCUGUUACCAAGUUCAAGCCCAGCCUUGGCAAUUUAGUAAGAUCCUGUCUUAAAAUGAAAAAAAGCUGGAGAUUUAGCUCAGUGGCAUAAGCGCCUGCCUUGCAAGCACGCGGUCGUGAGUUUGAUCCUCGGUACCAAUAAAUAAAUAAA
Molecule: long non-coding RNA, 3094 nt
Organism: Cavia porcellus (domestic guinea pig)
Lineage: Eukaryota; Metazoa; Chordata; Mammalia; Rodentia; Caviidae
Exons: 4
Source: RefSeq, a predicted model, not a curated record